Molecule: long non-coding RNA, 619 nt
Organism: Planococcus citri (citrus mealybug)
Lineage: Eukaryota; Metazoa; Arthropoda; Insecta; Hemiptera; Pseudococcidae
Exons: 3
Source: RefSeq, a predicted model, not a curated record
AAAAGAAUUCAUUUUGAUAUUUAUACCAAACAGUAAACAGCUACAGUGUGUUGUAGAUGAUCGAGUGUCGCGAGCCAUAAAAGCUAAACUUAAAAAAUGUAUUAUUGUAUCGCUAUAUUAUUCGUUUCAGCAGUGUAUUCUCAACAGACCCAAACCGAGAGUAAUAAUUCAACGGUAGAAACGUACUGAAAAAAAUGUGCACAAGUGUAUCUUACUUUAUUCAACACGUCAUUCUGCUGAUACAUAAGUUGAGUGGCACGCGUUCAUAUCCUGAAAAAAAAACACAAAUGUUUACAGACAGCUCAACUCACAAAGAUCCGGCAGACAAUACGGAGUUCCUCAAGUAGAACAAUUCAGACCAACGGGAUACCCUUACCCUACCAGCCAAAGAUUAGAAUUUUCUCACGAUAACAAACUACACAUCUACCUGUUCCAAAACAAAUUGAGUAUUUAUUGUGCCACUGAUACCACUUAUGAAAAAAUUACCUGGAAGAAGUACACGUGUCCUUCUCAAGUAGCUAGCCAAAAUGGUGAAGCCGUUGCUGUUGGUCCGAUUGUACCAAAUCCGCAGCUGUAUGGUGUCAACAGUUUUGCUCGUAACGAAGAAUUUAUCUCCGAG